CCUGGUGAAAUUAGCGCUGUGGAACCACCCGAUCCCAUCCCGAACUCGGAAGUGAAACGCAGCUGCGCCGAUGGUAGUGUGGCUCAAGCCAUGCGAGAG
Molecule: ribosomal RNA, 99 nt
Filed under: Stenotrophomonas maltophilia
Lineage: Bacteria; Pseudomonadati; Pseudomonadota; Gammaproteobacteria; Lysobacterales; Lysobacteraceae
Source: RNAcentral